CGAUGCGAUCGGAGAGGUCCGACAUCGGGGGCUCGUCCCCCCUCAGGAGUUCAUCGACGCCAGGAACUCUUCGUUCGAGUCCGUCGCCUUGA
RNAcentral lists this transfer RNA (92 nucleotides) under Myxococcaceae bacterium. RNAcentral's name for it is "tRNA-Thr". The record is from RNAcentral. Lineage: Bacteria; Pseudomonadati; Myxococcota; Myxococcia; Myxococcales; Myxococcaceae.